UACGAAUGGGGCAAGCGUUGUUCGGAAUCACUGGGCUUAAAGCGUGCGCAGGCGGACUCACAAGUCAGGAGUGAAAUCCCAGGGCUUAACCCUGGAAUUGCUUUUGAAACUGUAAGUCUAGAAUACCGGAGAGGUUAGGAGAAUUCCGAGUGUAGAGGUGAAAUUCGCAGAUAUUCGGAGGAAUACCAGUGGCGUAGGCGCCUAACUGGACGGUUAUUGACACUCAGGCACGAAAGCGUGGGGAGCAAACAGG
Molecule: ribosomal RNA, 253 nt
Filed under: uncultured bacterium
Lineage: Bacteria
Description: partial 16S ribosomal RNA
Rfam family: Bacterial small subunit ribosomal RNA
Source: RNAcentral